Molecule: ribosomal RNA, 276 nt
Filed under: Stylophora sp. C JFF-2011
Lineage: Eukaryota; Metazoa; Cnidaria; Anthozoa; Scleractinia; Pocilloporidae
Description: partial 28S ribosomal RNA
Rfam family: Eukaryotic large subunit ribosomal RNA
Source: RNAcentral
CCUUUCGGACCUCAGAUCAGGCAAGGCUACCCGCUGAAUUUAAGCAUAUUAAUAAGCGGAGGAAAAGAAACUAACAAGGAUUCCCCCAGUAACGGCGAGUGAAGCGGGAAGAGCUCAAAUUUGAAAUCUCCGAUGCCUGCAUCGGCGAGUUGUACUUGCGAGAAGCACUUUCUAGGCGGAAGGGCCCUGCCUAAGUUGCUUGGAACGGCACGUCGCAGAGGGUGACAACCCCGUCUGUGGCAGGGCCGGCCGCCCACGAUGUGCUUUCGAAGAGUC